This is a small nucleolar RNA of Saccharomyces cerevisiae S288C, 106 nucleotides long. Lineage: Eukaryota; Fungi; Ascomycota; Saccharomycetes; Saccharomycetales; Saccharomycetaceae. The record is from Ensembl.
GUUUAUGAUGAUUUCCACAUUUCACGACGGUCAACUGCGUUUUUCGAAUGUUUAUCGAUUAACUUUGAUGAUAUUUCGCCUGUGACAGGGCGUGGUACUGAGCUUU